GUUGUGGCUCAGUGGUAGAGCGCUUGCCUAGCAUGUGCACGGCCCUGGGUUCGACCCUCAGCACCACA
This 68-nucleotide transfer RNA is filed under the name Marmota monax (woodchuck). RNAcentral's name for it is "tRNA.Ala". The record is from RNAcentral. Lineage: Eukaryota; Metazoa; Chordata; Mammalia; Rodentia; Sciuridae.